RNAcentral lists this ribosomal RNA (473 nucleotides) under uncultured bacterium. RNAcentral's name for it is "bacterial SSU rRNA". It matches the Rfam family "Bacterial small subunit ribosomal RNA", at positions 30 to 507 of the family's 1533-position model. The record is from RNAcentral.
AUUGAACGCUGGCGGCAGGCUUAACACAUGCAAGUCGAGCGGAGACUUCGGUCUUAGCGGCGAACGGGUGAGUAAUACCUAGGAAUCUGCCUAUUAGUGGGGGAUAACGAAUCGAAAGGUUCGCUAAUACCGCAUACGUCCUACGGGAGAAAGGGGGGGGAUCUUCGGACCUCUCGCUAAUAGAUGAGCCUAGGCCGGAUUAGCUAGUUGGUAGGGUAAAGGCCUACCAAGGCGACGAUCUGUAGCUGGUCUGAGAGGAUGGCCAGCCACACUGGAACUGAGACACGGUCCAGACUCCUACGGGAGGCAGCAGUGGGGAAUAUUGGACAAUGGGCGCAAGCCUGAUCCAGCAAUGCCGCGUGUGUGAAGAAGGCCUGCGGGUUGUAAAGCACUUUCAGUGGGGAAGAACAGGCCUGGGCUAAUACCCCAGGUGUCUGACGUUACCCACAGAAGAAGCACCGGCUAACUCCGUG